RNAcentral lists this ribosomal RNA (274 nucleotides) under uncultured bacterium. RNAcentral's name for it is "partial 16S ribosomal RNA". It matches the Rfam family "Bacterial small subunit ribosomal RNA", at positions 523 to 796 of the family's 1533-position model. The record is from RNAcentral.
AUACGGAGGAUGCGAGCGUUAUCCGGAUUUAUUAGGUUCAAAGGGUGUGUAGGCGGUAUUUUAAGUCAGUGGUGAAAUCUCGGAGCUUAACUUCGAAACUGCCAUUGAUACUGGAAUACUUGAGUAUAGUUGAGGUAGGCGGAAUAUGUAAUGUAGCGGUGAAAUGCAUAGAUAUUACAUAGAACACCGAUUGCGAAGGCAGCUUACUAAACUAUUACUGACGCUGAUGCACGAAAGCGUGGGGAGCGAACAGGAUUAGAAACCCUAGUAGUCC